Molecule: ribosomal RNA, 1366 nt
Filed under: Sporomusa termitida
Lineage: Bacteria; Bacillati; Bacillota; Negativicutes; Selenomonadales; Sporomusaceae
Description: 16S ribosomal RNA
Rfam family: Bacterial small subunit ribosomal RNA
Source: RNAcentral
UAUUGGCGCGUUUNANCCUGGCUCAGGACGAACNCUGGCGGCGUGCCUAACACAUGCAAGUCGAACGGAGUNUAGCAAUAACUNCUUAGUGGCGAACGGGUGAGUAACGCGUAGACAACCUGCCUCUUAGCUGGGGACAACACCGCGAAAGUGGUGCUAAUACCGAAUGUGGUAACUCGGUUGCAUAACGGAGUUAAGAAAGAUGGCCACUCUAAAGAACUAUCGCUAAGAGAUGGGUCUGCGUCUGAUUAGCUGGUUGGUGAGGUAACGGAUCACCAAGGCGACGAUCAGUAGCCGGUCUGAGAGGAUGAACGGCCACACUGGGACUGAGACACGGCCNNGACUCCUACGGGAGGCAGCAGUGGGGAAUCUUCCGCAAUGGACGAAAGUCUGACGGAGCAACGCCGCGUGAGUGAAGAAGGCCUUCGGGUCGUAAAGCUCUGUCGUUUGGGACGAACGUNGYCUAUGUGAAUAAURUAGACUAAUGACGGUACCAAAGGAGGAAGCCACGGCUAACUACGUGCCAGCAGCCGCGGUAAUACGUAGGUGGCAAGCGUUGUCCGGAAUUAUUGGGCGUAAAGGGCGUGUCGGUGGCCUGGUAAGUCGUGUGUCUAAGUGCGAAGCUCAACUUCGUAUGGGCGCAGGAAACUGUCCAGCUUGAGUGCAGGAGAGGAAAGUGGAAUUCCCAGUGUAGCGGUGAAAUGCGUAGAUAUUGGGAGGAACACCAGUGGCGAAGGCGACUUUCUGGACUGUGUCUGACACUGAGGCGCGAAAGCCAGGGGAGCGAACGGGAUUAGAUACCCCGGUAGUCCUGGCCGUAAACGAUGGGUACUAGGUGUAGAGGGUAUCGACCCCUUCUGUGCCGGAGUUAACGCAAUAAGUACCCCGCCUGGGGAGUACGGCCGCAAGGUUGAAACUCAAAGGAAUUGACGGGGNCCCGCNCNAGCGGUGGCGUCUGUNGUUUAAUUAGANGCAACGCGAAGAACCUUACCAGGGCUUGACAUUGAGCGAAAGGUUCAGAGAUGAAUCCCUAUCUUCGGAUACGCGAAAACAGGUGGUGCAUGGCUGUCGUCAGAUAGUGUCGUGAGAUGUUGGGUUAAGUCCCGCAACGAGCGCAACCCUUAUCCUUUGUUGCCAGCGCGUAAAGGCGGGAACUCNAGGGAGCUGCGGCANGAGAAUGCGGUGGAAGGCGGGGAUGACGUCAAGUCAUCAUGCCCCUAAUGUCCUGGGCUACACACGUNCUACAAUGGGCUUANACAAAGCGAAGCAAGCCUGCGAAGGUAAGCAAAACGCAGAAAUAAGCUCUCRGUUCGGANGGCAGGCUGCAACUCGCCUCCGUGAAGUCGGAAUCGCUAGUAAUCGCAGG